Molecule: ribosomal RNA, 253 nt
Filed under: uncultured bacterium
Lineage: Bacteria
Description: partial 16S ribosomal RNA
Rfam family: Bacterial small subunit ribosomal RNA
Source: RNAcentral
UACAGAGGGUGCAAGCGUUAAUCGGAAUUACUGGGCGUAAAGCGUGCGUAGUCGGCCAUUUAAGUCGGGUGUGAAAUCCCCGGGCUCAACCUGGGAAUUGCAUUCGAUACUGGAUGGCUAGAGUUCGGCAGAGGGAAGCGGAAUUUCCGGUGUAGCGGUGAAAUGCGUAGAUAUCGGAAGGAACACCAGUGGCGAAGGCGGCUUCCUGGACUAAUACUGACGCUGAGGUGCGAAAGCGUGGGGAGCAAACAGG